AAUGUGGAGAUUACCAUUCCCGUGCCCACCGACGUGGACUCGCCCUCCUUCAAGACCACCAUUGGUACCGUAACCUAUGUACCGGACAAGGACGCGAUCGUGUGGUCCAUCAAGCAAUUUUAUGGUGCCAAGGAGGUCGUCAUGCGUGCUCACUUUG
Molecule: non-coding RNA, 157 nt
Filed under: Aurantiochytrium limacinum
Lineage: Eukaryota; Bigyra; Thraustochytrida; Thraustochytriidae
Source: RNAcentral